UACGUAGGGUCCAAGCAUUAUCCGGAUUGACUGGGUGUAAAGAGUUGCGUAGGUGGUUUGUUAAGUAGAUAGUGAAAUCUGGUGGCUCAACCAUUCAGACUAUUAUCUAAACUGGCAGACUCGAGAACGUUAGGGGUAGCUGGAAUUUCUAGUGUAGGAGUGAAAUCCGUAGAUAUUAGAAAGAACACCGAUAGCGUAGGCAGGCUACUGGGACGUUUCUGACACUAAGGCACGAAGGCGUAGGGAGCAA
This 250-nucleotide ribosomal RNA is filed under the name uncultured prokaryote. Its description in RNAcentral is "partial 16S ribosomal RNA". It matches the Rfam family "Bacterial small subunit ribosomal RNA", at positions 524 to 771 of the family's 1533-position model. The record is from RNAcentral.